CAGUAGCCGCGGUAAUACGAAGGGUGCAAGCGUUACUCGGAAUUACUGGGCGUAAAGCGUGCGUAGGUGGUGGUUUAAGUCCGUUGUGAAAGCCCUGGGCUCAACCUGGGAAUUGCAGUGGAUACUGGAUCACUAGAGUGUGGUAGAGGAUAGUGGAAUUUCCGGUGUAGCAGUGAAAUGCGUAGAGAUCGGAAGGAACAUCUGUGGCGAAGGCGACUAUCUGGGCCAACACUGACACUGAGGCACGAAAGCGUGGGGAGCAAACAGGAUUAGAUACCCGUGUAGUCCCUGUCUCUUAUAC
This 301-nucleotide ribosomal RNA is filed under the name uncultured bacterium. RNAcentral describes it as "partial 16S ribosomal RNA". It matches the Rfam family "Bacterial small subunit ribosomal RNA", at positions 509 to 807 of the family's 1533-position model. The record is from RNAcentral.